This 754-nucleotide ribosomal RNA is filed under the name uncultured Hyphomicrobiales bacterium. RNAcentral describes it as "bacterial SSU rRNA". It matches the Rfam family "Bacterial small subunit ribosomal RNA", at positions 8 to 796 of the family's 1533-position model. The record is from RNAcentral. Lineage: Bacteria; Pseudomonadati; Pseudomonadota; Alphaproteobacteria; Hyphomicrobiales.
AGAGUUUGAUCAUGGCUCAGAGCGAACGCUGGCGGCAGGCUUAACACAUGCAAGUCGAACGCACCUUUCGGGGUGAGUGGCAGACGGGUGAGUAACGCGUGGGUACCUGCCCUGAGGUGGGGGAUAACCCGGGGAAACUCGGGCUAAUACCGCAUAUGAUCGAGAGAUCAAAGAGGGCUCGCAAGAGCUCUUGCCAUAGGAGGGGCCCGCGUUCGAUUAGCUAGUUGGUAGGGUAAUGGCCUACCAAGGCGACGAUCGAUAGCCGGCCUGAGAGGGUGAUCAGCCACACUGGGACUGAGACACGGCCCAGACUCCUACGGGAGGCAGCAGUGGGGAAUAUUGGACAAUGGGCGCAAGCCUGAUCCAGCCAUGCCGCGUGAGUGAUGAAGGCCCUAGGGUUGUAAAGCUCUUUCGCACGCGACGAUAAUGACGGUAGCGUGAGAAGAAGCCCCGGCUAACUUCGUGCCAGCAGCCGCGGUAAUACGAAGGGGGCUAGCGUUGUUCGGAAUCACUGGGCGUAAAGGGCGCGUAGGCGGCUGUUCAAGUCGGGGGUGAAAGCCUGUGGCUCAACCACAGAAUGGCCUUCGAUACUGGACGGCUCGAGACCGGAAGAGGUAAGUGGAACUGCGAGUGUAGAGGUGAAAUUCGUAGAUAUUCGCAAGAACACCAGUGGCGAAGGCGGCUUACUGGUCCGGUUCUGACGCUGAGGCGCGAAAGCGUGGGGAGCAAACAGGAUUAGAUACCCCUGUAGUCC